UUUACAAAAACGACGUGUGACCUUGGUGGGUUGGGAGAACCUGAGCCACAGGAACAGAAAACAGUAUGUGGUUUUGCCCCUCAUGGCAAAGCAUUUCGCAGCAGUCUCAUCACAUGAAGAUGCAGCUCCUGUCUAUAGCACUCAAACACUGACAUGAAACUUGAAGGCCGGUGGGAGAACUUUCAAUGUUCCCCUCUAUUCUUGCCAUAAUCUGGUCAAGUUGCAGGCAGAAGUGUUUGUGGGGUUACGUGAAGAAGUGAUGCCCCCAACUUCCUUCAUGAUCGCUUAGAGGCACCAAUAGGGGAUUGGAGUGCCAUGGCGUGAGGCAUUGUACAGUCUUGUGAAAAGGCAGUUCUUGGCCCAAAGAGCUUCUUAUCUUCAUUGAUGACAAGAUGCAAUAGCUAGGUGAAACACAUGGUUUUGGG
Molecule: long non-coding RNA, 425 nt
Organism: Trachemys scripta elegans
Lineage: Eukaryota; Metazoa; Chordata; Testudines; Emydidae
Exons: 3
Source: RefSeq, a predicted model, not a curated record